Molecule: ribosomal RNA, 468 nt
Filed under: uncultured bacterium
Lineage: Bacteria
Description: partial 16S ribosomal RNA
Rfam family: Bacterial small subunit ribosomal RNA
Source: RNAcentral
GACGAACGCUGGCGGCGUGCUUAACACAUGCAAGUCGAACGGAAAGGCCCUGCUUUUGUGGGGUGCUCGAGUGGCGAACGGGUGAGUAACACGUGAGUAACCUGCCCUUGACUUUGGGAUAACUUCAGGAAACUGGGGCUAAUACCGGAUAGGAGCUCCUGCUGCAUGGUGGGGGUUGGAAAGUUUCGUCGGUUGGGGAUGGACUCGCGGCUUAUCAGCUUGUUGGUGGGGUAGUGGCUUACCAAGGCUUUGACGGGUAGCCGGCCUGAGAGGGUGACCGGCCACAUUGGGACUGAGAUACGGCCCAGAAUCAUACGGGAGGCAGCAGUGGGGAAUAUUGCACAAUGGGCAGAAGCCUGAUGCAGCAACGCCGCGUGCGGGAUGACGGCCUUCGGGUUGUAAACCGCUUUCGCCUGUGACGAAGCGUGAGUGACGGUAAUGGGUAAAGAAGCACCGGCUAACUACGUG